This 347-nucleotide small RNA is filed under the name Pongo abelii (Sumatran orangutan). RNAcentral's name for it is "processed transcript". The record is from RNAcentral. Lineage: Eukaryota; Metazoa; Chordata; Mammalia; Primates; Hominidae.
AUAUUAAAAUCCAGUAAGUUUCUUGGUCUUGAGGAUUAUUCCUGGAAUACUCUUCGCUCCCUGUUGGGCAGGCUUUGGCCAUGCAAGGUGCGCUAGGUGGCCUGAAUCAAACAAAUAAUAGAAGUCUGUUGAAGCUUUGUCCUGACCUAUCCUGGAAGUAGAAUACUCUGGAGAAAGGAGCAUUGUAAGCACAAAGAAUAAGAUUCCUCAAUCCUGAGAGAGAGAAUGAAAGUCUAACUCUCCAAAUGUCUACUCUAUUGUGAUGCUGGGAUUGAAUUUUCCUAGGACUCCGUUUCAAGGUUGAUUCGAAAGUCUUGUGGAAGAUCUGGAAGAAACAGGUAUUAAGU